This 72-nucleotide transfer RNA is filed under the name Phrynosoma platyrhinos (Desert horned lizard). RNAcentral describes it as "tRNA-OTHER". The record is from RNAcentral. Lineage: Eukaryota; Metazoa; Chordata; Lepidosauria; Squamata; Phrynosomatidae.
GCCAGGCUGGCAUAGCGGUUUGAGCAUUGGACUAGGACUCUGGAGACCAGGGUUCAAAUCCCAGCUCGGCCA